GACCAAGGAGUCUAGCAUGUGCGCGAGUCAUUGGGACUAUAAUAAACCUAAAGGCGCAAUGAAAGUAAAAGUCCGCCUUGUGCAGACUUAGGGAGGAUGGGACCGUUCUCGGACGGACCUCGCACUCCCGGGGCGUCUCGUUCUCAUCGCGAGAAGAGGCGCACCUAGAGCGUACACGCUGGGACCCGAAAGAUGGUGAACUAUGCCUGGUCAGGACGAAGUCAGGGGAAACCCUGAUGGAGGUCCGUAGCGAUUCUGACGUGCAAAUCGAUCGUCGGAACUGGGUAUAGGGGCGAAAGACUAAUCGAC
RNAcentral lists this ribosomal RNA (309 nucleotides) under Helictopleurus viridiflavus. RNAcentral's name for it is "eukaryotic LSU rRNA". It matches the Rfam family "Eukaryotic large subunit ribosomal RNA", at positions 664 to 940 of the family's 3401-position model. Lineage: Eukaryota; Metazoa; Arthropoda; Insecta; Coleoptera; Scarabaeidae. The record is from RNAcentral.